Molecule: long non-coding RNA, 425 nt
Organism: Solanum dulcamara
Lineage: Eukaryota; Viridiplantae; Streptophyta; Magnoliopsida; Solanales; Solanaceae
Exons: 2
Source: RefSeq, a predicted model, not a curated record
AAAAGAGAAGACAAAAAUCAGCCAACUCUCUCUCUCUCUGUAUUCCAUUUUCACCCACGCUCCCUCUUCUCCUCAUCGCCUUUUUUCUCAUAAAAGAUGGAAGAUCCCCUUCUCCACCUCCUUCUUCUCCUUUCAAUUCCCAAAAAAUCCGCAUGCCAUCAUCGGCGGAAUUUCCUCCCAGCCGCAACUUUCAGUCAAAGAAAAAGAAAAGGGCUGGAGUUCCUAAUUUAAAAUCUUUCUGGCCUAAAAUAUUGGGCCAACAGCUAUUAGGAUUAUCACCGAGCUCGAAGUCUUGUAAAUUCGGAGUCGACAUUCCUUGGCCUUCCUCGUUACCCCUUUGAUUAUAUAUCUCUUGAUACAUUAAUUUGUUUAUAUAUAUGUUUACAUAAAUGUGAUAUUGAAACUAAUCUCUUUUUUUUUUUUUU